AGUAGGAUUACUGAAUCAUAUGAAAAGUCCAUGUUAACUUUGUAAGAAACUGCCAAAUUGUUUUCUGUGGUGGCUGCAUCAUUUGCAACCCCACCAGCAAU
RNAcentral lists this microRNA precursor (101 nucleotides) under Marmota monax (woodchuck). Lineage: Eukaryota; Metazoa; Chordata; Mammalia; Rodentia; Sciuridae. The record is from RNAcentral.